This is an RNA transcript of Syzygium oleosum, 1100 nucleotides long. RefSeq lists it as uncharacterized. The transcript is spliced from 4 exons. The record is from RefSeq and is a predicted model, not a curated record. NCBI's taxonomy places the organism in Eukaryota, Viridiplantae, Streptophyta, Magnoliopsida, Myrtales, Myrtaceae.
GCUGGUGCAGCUUAUACUGACCAGUCAAAAAUUGAGAAAAGAAAAAGUAAGAAGGAAAGAUCAGAGCUUGCCACAAAUUCAGCUCUUCCCGAGCACAUCCAUCCUCUCUUCCCAUCAGUUUAGGACCUGGCAAUCCGGACUACUAUCUCUCCCUCCCUCUACACACACCAUUUUUGCCUCCACCUUCCAGUUUACGUUUGCACAGUUCAUCGGGUCUUCGCCUGAACGCCACUGCCGGUGGUGUCGCUGGCUCAAACAGAAGUGGAUCCAAAUUGGAAAAUUACACGUGUUCAUUCCUUGAGGACUUGAAGCAUCCACUCACCAGUCAAAAACAAAACUGGCAAACGUGGAGAGUCAAUUCCCCAUUCAAAAGGUCAGCACAAGCAACGCUACAAAGCUUCUAAAUUGGAGUUGGAGCUAUAUUGCAAUCUUUUUGCAGGAGAGAUCUUUUUCCUCUGAGGCAGCUCAUAUCAACCAAGUCAAAAAGAACAAAAAGAAAGAAGCCAGAGAUUGCCGAAUGCAAUGGAAGAUGCGCAAGAGGAUGGCCGCAUCUCUCCAACUUCAUCACCACCAACACCGCCAUCACCUCUUCCGAUAAGUACAGGACCUGGCAAUCAAAAAUACUAUUUCUCACCAUCUCCUUCUCCAUCCCCGCCAUUUUCACCACCGCAGUCCAGUCAUACAUCUGCAGAAAACCUCCCUCUUCUGCAGGAGUCAUCUGGUCCUACACGAACGCCGCCUUUGGCAUUUUCCUUGGACCGUAAACGAGCUGAUGAAGAGGAGGAUUCCAAAAGUUCAUGCCUUAAGGACUUGUUGGAGUGGUUUGUUCGAAGAUGCUGCAACUGCUACAUUGAGUCUUAAAUUUUGAGGAAUCACCAGCUACAGUAGCUACGGCGAGAGAUUGUUUGUCACCAUUAUUUUUGGGAUUUUUACAAUUUCUCAGGAUCAAUUAGAUUCUUCUAACCGGAGACCUGACUCAUACGUCAGAGAUUGUAAACUUUACAUGUUCAUGUUUUAACUGCCCAUACGAACAAAAACAUCAAAUUUGUUUUAGGAAAUGCUCAAAUUUGACCAAAAAUGAAGAGAGAAUCGCAAGGGAA